AUCCCGUGGUGAAAGCAUCUACGCAGUAACUCCUUGAAUCUUUCCCAUGCUUCCUACAAGAACUCAUCAUCCAUUUUUUGGAAAGUGGUGAUUUUAUUACGCGGGU
Molecule: small nucleolar RNA, 106 nt
Organism: Gossypium raimondii (Peruvian cotton)
Lineage: Eukaryota; Viridiplantae; Streptophyta; Magnoliopsida; Malvales; Malvaceae
Rfam family: Plant small nucleolar RNA R71
About the family: R71 is a member of the C/D box family of snoRNAs containing the C (UGAUGA) and D (CUGA) box motifs. Multiple nearly identical copies of this snoRNA have been identified in Arabidopsis, and it is thought to function as a 2'-O-ribose methylation guide for 18S ribosomal RNA.
Source: Rfam